AGCAUAUGCUUGUCUCAAAGACUAAGCCAUGCAUGUCUAAGUAUAAGUACUAUACAGCGAAACUGCGAAUGGCUCAUUAAAACAGUUAUAGUUUAUUUGGUGACCAAAUUACAUGGAUAACCGUGGUAAUUCUAGAGCUAAUACAUGCGUAAAGGGCCGUCUAGGCUUGUAUUUAUUAGAUAUCAGACCAAUCAAGUGGUGACUCAUAGUAACUGAUCGAAUCGCCUGGGCGUUAGUCCGCGAUAAAUCAUUCAAGUUUCUGCCCCAUCAGCUGUAGAUGGUAGUGUAUUGGACUACCAUGGCUUUCACGGGUAACGGAGGAUUAGGGUUCGAUUCCGGAGAGGGAGCCUGAGAAACGGCUACCACAUCUAAGGAAGGCAGCAGGCGCGUAAAUUACCCAAUACUGAUUCAGUGAGGUAGUGACAAGAAAUAGCGGGCCGGCUCAAUGCCGGGACUGAAAUGAGAAGAAUUUAACGACCUCUACGAGGAACAAU
RNAcentral lists this ribosomal RNA (494 nucleotides) under uncultured eukaryote. RNAcentral describes it as "SSU rRNA". It matches the Rfam family "Eukaryotic small subunit ribosomal RNA", at positions 25 to 548 of the family's 1831-position model. The record is from RNAcentral.